This 795-nucleotide long non-coding RNA is filed under the name Gossypium raimondii (Peruvian cotton). RNAcentral describes it as "long non-coding RNA (GRAI_LNC007254)". The record is from RNAcentral. Lineage: Eukaryota; Viridiplantae; Streptophyta; Magnoliopsida; Malvales; Malvaceae.
GUGGUCGGAGUUCCCCAAAAUAGGCAUUUUUUAUCCUUUUUUGUGUAGAUUGUGGAUCUAGGGUUAGAUCCUCUGGAAUCUAGUUAAAACUCGACUGGAAAUGAAGAAACCUUUCGACUCCUCUUCUCCGAUGAAGUCGUCAACGGUGGUGGAAGAUGAACAGGUAAAAAAACUUAAACUUUUUGUUUUAUUUUUCUUAUAUUUUUCAAAACAAGAAGAAAGAAAAAGAAAAACAAAAUAGGACUACCUUCGUAUUUUCUUUUUAACUUUGUUGUUCUUUUUUUUUUGUAUUCGAUUUUUUCUAUCCAAACGUUACCUGUGAUGGCUGUGGCUUUUAUAGCCAAACUAUAAUAUUUAUUUUUGUUUCUUUUCUGUUCUCUGCUCUGUCUUCUGCUUUCUUUUUUUUGCAGGUAUUUCACGACGAUGGCAAAGACUUUUCGGUCAAUUAUGGUGGGGAGAUGUGCCUUUGCCAUUUCAGGUGAAAUGAUGGCAGGGGCAAACCUUGGGCGACGUGCCUAUUGACGUGGAGAGGAGCGGUGGCGGCUAGUGAGGUCUUAGAGGUGGCUAGGGUUCCUUAUUUAGUUUUUAGGUUUUGGGCUUUGAGCUUUUAGGGUUUUUAGGUUAGCAGAUUCAAUAUUUAGGGUUUUGGGCUUGUAAAUGGACUUUUAUUAUUUUUAUUUAUUUGUUUUUGUUUGUUUUUGUCUGGGCUGUACAUGUUUGGGCCAUUAUAAGUGGCAAACGCCAUCAAACUUUUCAAAAACUGUUUUUCACCACAUUUUUAAAAAAUACUUUUCA